RNAcentral lists this non-coding RNA (117 nucleotides) under Chlorocebus sabaeus (green monkey). Lineage: Eukaryota; Metazoa; Chordata; Mammalia; Primates; Cercopithecidae. The record is from Rfam by way of RNAcentral.
GCCAGGUGUGGUGGCUUACACCUGUAAUCCCAGCACUGUGGGAGGCUGAGGCAGGUGGAUCACUUGAGGCCAGGAGUUCAAGACCAGCCUGGCCAACAUGGUGAAACCCUGUCUCUA